UUUGGGUCGAUUUUUAUGGAUUUUGGGUCUAUUUCUGUCAUUCUGGGUCCAUUUCUGUGGAUUCCGGUGCCGUUUCUCCAUCUGGGGCCGUUUUUGGGUCGUUUUUGGCCAUUUUUGGGUCAUUUUUGGCCGUUUUUGGGCUGGUCUUGGGUCAUUUUUGGGCUGUUUUGGGCUGUUUUUGGGCAGGUUUUGUGUCUUCUUUGUCCAUUUUUGCGUCGCUUCUGUCCAUUUCCGUGCGGUUUUGGGCCGUUUUUGGGUCAUUCUGGGUCAUUUUUGGGU
Molecule: long non-coding RNA, 279 nt
Filed under: Cyanistes caeruleus (blue tit)
Lineage: Eukaryota; Metazoa; Chordata; Aves; Passeriformes; Paridae
Description: lncRNA (ENSCCEG00000005794.1)
Source: RNAcentral